GAUGAACGCUGGCGGCGUGCCUAAUACAUGCAAGUCGAGCGAACGGACGAGAAGCUUGCUUCUCUGAUGUUAGCGGCGGACGGGUGAGUAACACGUGGAUAACCUACCUAUAAGACUGGGAUAACUUCGGGAAACCGGAGCUAAUACCGGAUAAUAUUUUGAACCGCAUGGUUCAAAAGUGAAAGACGUUCUUGCUGUCACUUAUCGAUGGAUCCGCGCUACAUUAGCUAGUUGGUAAGGUAACGGCUUACCAAGGCAACGAUGCAUAGCCGACCUGAGAGGGUGAUCGGCCACACUGGAACUGAGACACGGUCCAGACUCCUACGGGAGGCAGCAGUAGGGAAUCGUCCGCAAUGGGCGAAAGCCUGACGGAGCAACGCCGCGUGAGUGAUGAAGGUCUUCGGAUCGUAAAACUCUGUUAUUAGGGAAGAACAUAUGUGUAAGUAACUGUGCACAUCUUGACGGUACCUAAUCAGAAAGCCACGGCUAACUACGUG
Molecule: ribosomal RNA, 497 nt
Filed under: uncultured bacterium
Lineage: Bacteria
Description: partial 16S ribosomal RNA
Rfam family: Bacterial small subunit ribosomal RNA
Source: RNAcentral